Molecule: ribosomal RNA, 447 nt
Filed under: uncultured bacterium
Lineage: Bacteria
Description: bacterial SSU rRNA
Rfam family: Bacterial small subunit ribosomal RNA
Source: RNAcentral
CCCAGACUCCUACGGGAGGCAGCAGUGGGGAAUAUUGCACAAUGGGGGAAACCCUGAUGCAGCGACGCCGCGUGGGUGAAGAAGCGCCUCGGCGCGUAAAGCCCUGUCAGCAGGGAAGAAAAUGACGGUACCUGAAGAAGAAGCCCCGGCUAACUACGUGCCAGCAGCCGCGGUAAUACGUAGGGGGCAAGCGUUAUCCGGAUUUACUGGGUGUAAAGGGGGCGCAGACGGCGAUGCAAGCCAGGAGUGAAAGCCCGGGGCCCAACCCCGGGACUGCUCUUGGAACUGCGUGGCUGUAGUGCAGGAGGGGCAGGCGGAAUUCCUGGUGUAGCGGUGAAAUGCGUAGAUAUCAGGAGGAACACCGGUGGCGAAGGCGGCCUGCUGGACUGCAACUGACGUUGAGGCCCGAAAGCGUGGGGAGCAAACAGGAUUAGAUACCCCAGUACA